CCAUAGCAGCCGUGCAUCAAGAAAGAAAAAGAACCAAAAAGCUCUUCCAAUUUCUUCUUCAUUUCUUCAUCAAAUCUUCCACCAAAUCACACCAAAAUUUAACCACACUUAGCUAAACACUUGGAGAUCAUUUUAAGCUGCAAAAAGGGGGAGCUUUUCACGAUUUUUCUUGGCCAAGAGGGGACCAAAAAAUUCUGUCUUUGUUCAUCACACAAGUAGGUAACGAUCCGACCUUCGAAUUUUGGUUUAUGGAAGUAGAAUUAAACGUAUAAACUCUUGCAUGCAUGUGGGUAGUCUUGUUUACGAUGAAUUUUUGUUUGGUGGGCUCUAUGAACUCCCACUUUUGAUGGAAGGACUGAUUUGAUGAUUGAUGAUGAAAAUAAUGUUGGUUUAGUGCUUAUAUUGGUGGAUUAAUGUUGGGUUGUUGAUAGAAACUCAUGGAUGGUGCAAUGACCAAAAGUGACCAUUUUGCCCCUGGUUUGUUCGACCACUUUUGUGCAAAAUUUUAAGGUUCUAAUGGUUUGUUUAUGUUGUUUACAUGUUAUAUUGGUUGUGUAUAAAGUUUCAUUGAAAAAUAACAUGAUUUGAUCACCCAAAUGUCGGAAAUUCGAAAGCUUGAAAAUCUGGAAUUUGAAUCCCGUCACUGCCCAGGCAGUCUUCUUGUUUCGGCCAUAACUUGUUGCUCCGAUGUCGGAAUCGAGUGCCGUUUGUGGCACUGGAAAAUAGACAUUCCUAUCUUUCUGUUGGUAUAAAAUUCAUGUCCUGGUUUUACUUGAGCUAGCCAAACCAUUCAUUUGAAAUCCACUGUCCUGUUUCGUUGCUUCCUGGAAGGCAGCUCAUGAGCUGCAACUUAAUGCUCACGAACGAGCUGGUUAUGGACUGAUUUUGAAAAUGGUUUCUUCUGAGAAAAGGUAUCCUUAUGAGUUUAUUUUCCAAUACCACCAACCACGCUCAAUUCUGAGUUGAAUUGAGUGAUUUAUGAUCAAAGCUCGAAUCUGGUCUGGUGAAGGAAUACCUUACAUUUGGACAGAUUUGAACUAGCAAUGAUUUGGGACUUGUUAUCCGAAAUUUCUUGGUGUAAAUCACCGAUCAAAUGUACCUUGGACAUAUUUUAGACAUUACUUACUGGAAUAAAUCAUGUUUGAGUCGUUUCUUGGCCAAAUGUUUGGAAAACGGCAAAACGGAAGCUCAAAGGCAGCUUAGCCUUCGAACUUCUUGCGAUUUCAACGGUUUUGUUAACUGACUUCCCGUUCAUAUUUUUCUAUGAAAUUUGGCAAGGGAGUGGCCCUUAUAUGGUAGUAUAUUCAUACCAAAUUUGGUGCCAUUUUGAGUCCAUUUUACUACCAAAAUAAAGUCCCAAAGUUUGGAACUCAAAUCUGGAAACUAGCUUAACAGUUUCGUUUUUCCUCCAAUUUUGAGCGACCGUAUCUCGGUGCUCAAAACUCCGAUUCUUGAUCUGUUUGCUCUGUCCUAAACUUUACUUGCAACUCUAAAUGAGUUAUAAAUUUUGGAGGCUGGUUUGCAACGUAUGAAUUUUACCGAAUUUCCAAAGUUGGCGAAAAACCAACCUCAAAACUGUCUUGCAAGUUUAAAACAGUAACUUUGAGCAAAUUUUGAAUGCCUGCCACUUGGAAUCAUGGAAAACUGUAUUCUAGGAACUUUUAGUAUAUUGGAAGUAGUUUCCAAUGGUACCAAAUUUUCCAAUUUUGGACUUGUAGAGAGUGAGAUACGAUUUUUCAAAGUAAGUGUAACAAAUCUGAAAAUUUCUAACUUCAAGCAAAUGGAGUUUUGCAAACUCUCUCUUUUUCCUUUGAUAUCACUGGAUCGUUUUACACUCGAUUUCAAGGAUGAAAAUCAGAUUUUGCUUGUGUUUUAAAACCUCACUUUUGAGCCUCGAUUUACGAGUAAUUAAGGCUCAUUCUCGUGAAAUUUUCUUAGAUUGUACAAUGGUACAAUCUUCCUUAUUAAUUGGGAUGUAUAAGUGAUAGUUUAUUAUUAAAUGCUCAGGCGCUCAACAGGAUCUUCCAGAGGAUCUCACGGGAGACGCCUAAAUCAUCAUUUGAACUUGCUACUUGAAUCACUGUGAGUGUCAAGUGCAUGAGUUUGUUGCUAAAUGGUUAAUUGGUUCUUAUCCGUUAUGUGAAUUUGAAAAUUUGAGACGAGUGUGUACUUUAUCGCACUCGCUCUCUUUCGAAUGAACUUAUAUUUGAAUUUUGCUAUGUGAAUUUAUAUUUGACUUGUACAUAGUAAUGUGGAUGUGAUUCGUAUUUGUGAUUCAUAUAUGUGAUCCGUAUUUGUGAUUCCUAUUUGGAAUCGUCGAUUUGAGCGUUGCUCAUCGACUUAUAUCCGUAUUCAUAUUUGCAUUCAUAUUCGUAUUCAGGGGACGCCCAAACUCAUUGGCUAACUUUGCGAAUCGAGCCAGCAUGGGCUUGGUCGACAAGCUUAGCAAACCAUGAGAUAUUCGUAGAGCAUGAUCUAUUGGAGAGAUCUUGCUCGGCAUUACUAGUGCAGUAUUGCCAUGAUAUACUCGAGUAUUAUUAAAAAAAAAAUUUGAUGAGCGGACCCGGUAAGGGGGUGUAACGGUGACGGGAUUCGAAGAAAAGUGGUGUAUCUACGAAUUCGAUACUUAUGUGGUUGGCGGAGUGUCAACGUGAGAUGUGAUCAAGACUUUGACUCGACUACGUGGAAUUUAGCUCCUGAGAGCUACAGUAUCCUUGAAUUGU
RNAcentral lists this long non-coding RNA (2723 nucleotides) under Coffea arabica (coffee). RNAcentral's name for it is "long non-coding RNA (CARA_LNC005381)". The record is from RNAcentral. Lineage: Eukaryota; Viridiplantae; Streptophyta; Magnoliopsida; Gentianales; Rubiaceae.